GUCAAUGGAGAUGAGGUGGGGUAACCAUUUCGAAAUCAGGAAAGGAAGGCAAUCAAAUCAGCUGAAGCUAUUGAUUCAUUGAGCGUAUGAGGGAUAUGAAGGUACUGGAAAUAUGUUUUUAAUUUCGUCUAUACUGAAAGUAAAGAAGUAAGAACGAACUUUUUGUUUAAUUUGUAAAUCUACCUAGAAAUUGAUAAUCCGAGAAAACUGGGUCACUUUCUAUAUAGCUCGAAGGCUUUUUUUUUUUUUUUUUGUGUCCCUCGUAAGAAUGACAGUCAUCUUCCAUGCUUUUUCCUGCAAAAUAUGUUAACAGAAUUUUUUUUUUUUUUGUUUCCCAUGUUUGCAUAUGUAUUUUUAUUGUAAUUAAUUUUAGUCACCUAGUUUUGAUGGAGGUUGCUGAAUAUUUCUUUGUAGACUAUAUUGGUGAUGCCCUUUUCACCAUUUUCUCCUGAAGACUCGUCAAGUAUCUUGAGGCCUGCAGGGGAAGUCACACGGGAUAAAGCGACAUAGAGCUGUCCAUGGCUGAAUACGCUU
RNAcentral lists this long non-coding RNA (534 nucleotides) under Brassica napus (rape). RNAcentral describes it as "long non-coding RNA (BNAP_LNC012522)". Lineage: Eukaryota; Viridiplantae; Streptophyta; Magnoliopsida; Brassicales; Brassicaceae. The record is from RNAcentral.